Molecule: ribosomal RNA, 2640 nt
Filed under: Triticum aestivum (bread wheat)
Lineage: Eukaryota; Viridiplantae; Streptophyta; Magnoliopsida; Poales; Poaceae
Description: partial small subunit ribosomal RNA
Source: RNAcentral
AUGCAGGUGAGCGACGCGGUCAACACGGGGAGGCGGCGGCAUCUCGAGGGAACGGUGAUGGCCAAGUUGUGGGCUCCGACGGGGCUGCUGUGGAUCUGGCGGAUGGCAGCAGGAUCGGGUCGACGACGGACGGCUCCGGCAAGAGUCGGAGGGACGACGGCGGCGGCUGAGCUCCUCCAUGGCCUGCUGCGGUUCCAGGGAGAACAGAAGGAAGGGAGGGGAGGAAGGGCACGGCCAGCAGGCUCUCACCUCUCUUACCUCCAUGCCGCCGUCGACACAACCCCCGAGCCUAGACCACGACCCAUGCGACUGGACCCCGCUGAUGCCGGCGGCGGUGCCGGGUUCCAUGAUCUAUUCGACUUCAUGUGUCGAAUCAUCAAGUCCGCACCAGCACUCCGCCGGGCCCCUCAGUGGGAUCGGCAGUCCCUCGCCGCCACAACACCUGCAGUCGCGGACGGCCGUACCUGUCGACGGGAGCGGCUGAGCAGGGGACAUCCCGCCGAUCCGAUGGUGGAAGGGCAAGAUAAUGGGCAAGUCUACCUCGGGUUGAAUCUGGACACCAGCGAGCUCCUUGCAGUAAACCAGGUGCUGGACUUUUGUGUUUUGUUUAUCAGGUUUGCACUGUGUGAAUCACGCCGGUCUGGCUCUCACCCCUCUUUGACCUCCAUGCCGCAGUUGGGCGCUCCUCCGAAACAAGAUUAUCGCGUCCAGGAACGUGGAGAGAUGGUGGGCUCCAAGCCCAUGGUGAUUUUAUUGUGCUUGCAGCUUGAGAUGUACUUGGUCCAAAUGACAAUCAUCAUUUUGAAGGUAAGAGCAAAUGUAAUAUUGUUCUCAUCAAUUUCUUUCAUAGCAUGUGUAAUGCGUUAUAACAUCAGUUUCAUUGGAUUGGAAAAGAGACAAAAUCCAACCUUAAUUCCCCCAUUCAGAUCAGGAAAUAUUGGGGUUAACAGUUUGCGAUUGGAACGGGUCAAGCCGGUUAGCGCGGCCCGGCGUGAGGCUAGAUCCUGGGAACAGGAUUGCGUGGGUAAAGCAAAGCACACACUGUACAGCGCCAAACCAGGUCAGGUCGUCCCUCGCAGCAACAAAACAUUUUCCGGACGCGGCGCAACCGGAAUCGCCUUCAUUGCUGAGAACGCUCUAUUGGCAUUUCAGCAACUCAUGUCGAGAUCUCCUAUUACAGCUAGAUCAAUGGAGGGGCGGGAUUGCGACUCAGCAUCGGAGAGCUUCUCUAAGCACGUCAGUGGGCAAAUGUUCCGAGUCAAUGCCCUCCUUGUGGUGAACGCCAUCCUGAUGGGAGUCAUGGUUGGCACAGGUGCAUACGGCCAUCGCUAUCGCCACCAUCCAUUAACCCGCUACAUCUUCUUGGGUGCCACUGCAUUGUUCAUUCCCAUAAUCUCCUAUGUCCUAUCUGCCAUUGGUAAUCAGAAUGGCAUUAUCCUUUUUGCCGCUGGAGAAAUCAUAAUAGGCCAGUGCGAUCCAAGUAGACACAUGAACCUAGUCUUAUUAUGGACUGGCCUUGUUCAAAUGGUUGGUAUCAGCACCACUUUGAUAGUGGUCAGUGAUCCUAGAGAAGGGCGAAACAUUGGCCCAUCUGGGGUACUACUUGUGCAGGCAAUGUGGACUUCCUACCUUAUGAUCUAUAACAUAGGAUUGAAUUAUGAUGUAUCAUCCUACAAUAAUACUCGUAGCUACCUCAAGUGGUCUCUGGUAUAUGCAUUUUCUCUAGAAGGAUUGAAGGUUAUCCCACCAUUUGCUCUCACCUUUGCCAAGUUACUUUUCAAGUGUUUUGCAUGGUACAAGGCCAGAAAAUCAUUAGCAAUUGGAUGCAAUCCUCGUCUUAUUGUUGGAUACAUGGAGGAGCUACAAGACACCGACAUGACAAACAGUUACUGGGAUAUACCUCCCCCACUAAUACUUUGCCUGAUGCCCAACAUAGGUGGCUUAGUGACCAUUGACAAAGUUUGGCAGCUGGAUGACAUGCAUGAUCUCAAGUUGACAUCACGGCUCAAAGAUGUAUGCCUCUCCUUCGCACUGUCCAAGCUUUUAAGGUGUCGGUUCACCAGAUGCAAGAUACUCAAGCAUUUUGAGGACAAAAUGAACCAAUGUUCAAUACUGGUGCUCCACCAAACGAAGACUCCAAUGAGACUUCUUCAUCUUCUUAAACCUGGUCAGAAGGUCAAGGUGCCAAGAGAGGUGAAGGCUGCUAUCAUGAAUGCACUGAGAAGCUAUGAGGGAAGCCGAGACAAUAACCGCAUUCCAUGUUUGAUCACGAGGCCACAAUUCAAGACCGGCGACAACCUCCUUUGGGUGGUUGAUGGCACAAAAGCUAAAGUGGAGUAUCAGCAGUUGGUGGAGCUGAUGAGCGCUUCACAGAAUCAUGAGGUGCUCAAGGAUGGUGCCAAGCUCGGACAACAGUUGGCGGAGCUGAACCAAGGAGAGACCAACAAGGGAGACGCGCGCGUGUCACACGGCAUCUCUCGGCUCAUCCACCGGUUGAUUCGUAGGAAAUUCGACUGUGGCAUGAUCAGCUCACUGCUCACGGAUGGAUGCGGCAGCGCACCGCUCCUCCAGACGGCUCGACUGAUUGAUACCCGCCCGUUGUUCUUUAUAACUUUUGUCCUUUACGAUCAAGCAAUGUAG